RNAcentral lists this ribosomal RNA (400 nucleotides) under Escherichia coli. RNAcentral describes it as "partial 23S ribosomal RNA". It matches the Rfam family "Bacterial large subunit ribosomal RNA", at positions 1 to 431 of the family's 2925-position model. The record is from RNAcentral. Lineage: Bacteria; Pseudomonadati; Pseudomonadota; Gammaproteobacteria; Enterobacterales; Enterobacteriaceae.
GGGUUGUGAGGUUAAGCGACUAAGCGUACACGGUGGAUGCCCUGGCAGUCAGAGGCGAUGAAGGACGUGCUAAUCUGCGAUAAGCGUCGGUAAGGUGAUAUGAACCGUUAUAACCGGCGAUUUCCGAAUGGGGAAACCCAGUGUGAUUCGUCACACUAUCAUUAACUGAAUCCAUAGGUUAAUGAGGCGAACCGGGGGAACUGAAACAUCUAAGUACCCCGAGGAAAAGAAAUCAACCGAGAUUCCCCCAGUAGCGGCGAGCGAACGGGGAGCAGCCCAGAGCCUGAAUCAGUGUGUGUGUUAGUGGAAGCGUCUGGAAAGGCGCGCGAUACAGGGUGACAGCCCCGUACACAAAAAUACACAUAUUGUGAGCUCGAUGAGUAGGGCGGGACACGUGGUA